Molecule: long non-coding RNA, 335 nt
Organism: Dioscorea cayenensis subsp. rotundata (Guinea yam)
Lineage: Eukaryota; Viridiplantae; Streptophyta; Magnoliopsida; Dioscoreales; Dioscoreaceae
Exons: 3
Source: RefSeq, a predicted model, not a curated record
CUGAUUGCUGAUUGCUUGUGUUUCAAGAUGCGUUGGAUGAAAAUUAGAGUAUUGUGAAUUUUGUGAAUGUCUCCGAAACCCGGGAUCUUGAAUCUGGUGGUUGGACGCGCCGAGGCGAGGAAUCGACCGACGGGGAGAGACGCCGCCUGAAAGGUGAUCUGGGUGAUGAUCAGAGGGUUGGUGCGGUAAGCGAAGCACUGGUUGAGAAAUGAUAGGAGAGAAAGAAGACGAACCCUAGAAACAUUCUGUGUUAGCAUCAGCUUGUUGAUCAAGGCACUGAAGGACAGUGUAAUUCAGAAUGUAAGACCAUUGAGCGAGCUUGUCAGGAGGUGGAU